This 29-nucleotide non-coding RNA is filed under the name Mus musculus (house mouse). The record is from RNAcentral. Lineage: Eukaryota; Metazoa; Chordata; Mammalia; Rodentia; Muridae.
UAAGGUGUUACCGGCAUCAGUGAAAAGCC